This 370-nucleotide long non-coding RNA is filed under the name Setaria viridis. Its description in RNAcentral is "long non-coding RNA (SVIR_LNC009417)". Lineage: Eukaryota; Viridiplantae; Streptophyta; Magnoliopsida; Poales; Poaceae. The record is from RNAcentral.
UUGGCUCACAUAUUCUUUAUUCCUCGCUUAUAUUGCUAUUACUUGUGAACAUAUAUGAUAGGGAAAGCAUGUCAUAUAUGAUAUGGUAUGAUAAAAGAAACCUUGCUUCUUCCAGCAAAGUACUUGGGAAUUUUAUCUUGCAAAAAAAUAAAAAUAGCUAGGCUCCUCAAUGAUUUGAUAAAUUCCUACCAAAGCCAUAUGUUGAUCUCAUUGAAAACCUUAUACAUAUGCUACUUGUUUUUACAUUGAGCUUUGUCAAACUGUUGUGACCUGGGUGAGAAACUUUUCAUACUUUCAUGAUCAAGAUCACGUACACUCCACCUUCAUAUGCUGACUUCUACACUAGAAGUUGCACAAAACAUGCCAUCCA